RNAcentral lists this unclassified non-coding RNA (280 nucleotides) under Hevea brasiliensis (rubber tree). Lineage: Eukaryota; Viridiplantae; Streptophyta; Magnoliopsida; Malpighiales; Euphorbiaceae. The record is from RNAcentral.
AAAGUCAGCUCUAUUAGCCUUUCUGGCAAGCGGUCUCGAGGCUGAAACACUUUUGUUAAUAUGUACAAAUUCUUUUCUUUAUGUGUCGUUUGCUUCUGCUGUCAUUUCCAAUUCAAUAGUUGUUCUUUCUUUCCCCAUCUUGUAUUUGAUUUGGGCUUUGUAUUUAGCGAGAACAUAUAAAUGAUUGUUUCUGUUUCAAGGACAUUGUAGGCAUAAAAAAGUAUAGCAUUUGUAUCUCUCGAAUCCUAAAGAUAGAUGUGCUCCAAAAGGUCUUUAGACG